Non-coding RNA from Salmo salar (Atlantic salmon), 54 nucleotides. The record is from Rfam. NCBI's taxonomy places the organism in Eukaryota, Metazoa, Chordata, Actinopteri, Salmoniformes, Salmonidae.
CGCACGCAUGACUGUAAGUCACUUUGGAUAAAAUCGUCUGCUAAAUAGCAUAUA